RNAcentral lists this long non-coding RNA (343 nucleotides) under Setaria viridis. RNAcentral describes it as "long non-coding RNA (SVIR_LNC010172)". The record is from RNAcentral. Lineage: Eukaryota; Viridiplantae; Streptophyta; Magnoliopsida; Poales; Poaceae.
AGUAAUAUACUAAUAUUGAUCGCAAUUGAUGUGCACGACUGUGAUCUUUAGGACAACAAUUAUGAAGUUGCAAGAAGUUUAGGUAAAUAAUGUAGUACACACGUGGGAUUUAUGCCUCACAUUUUUAAGUUUCAUUUUGAGUUAAAUGCACUUGGGUAAAAAAAAAAGAAUUUCCCGAGACUAGAGUGCACCUCAGCCUUUUCUUAAAAGAAAAAAAAUGAGAGGAGGAUUUUGUGCCUCCACUAGUCCACUGGCACCGGUGGGCUGGCCCAUUUGUGCAUGAAUGGCUCGGGUCAACGAACUCGAGGGCUCAUGAAGCCGAGUGGGCCUUCUUUCAUCUCCC